CCGAGCCCCAGGGCUGCGGUGGCUGCCUCCGCGCGACCCGGCGGUCCCAGUUCGGCCGCCGGGAGCCCGCGCUGUCCGCGCCUCCGGCCGGGCGGAUCCCAACGCGAUCGCCUCGUGCCCGAGCCGGGCGGGGGCCAGGAUGCGGACCUGAAAGCCUUGAGCCGGCCUCAUGACCCUGAGCACGUUGACUCGCGAAAGGAAGGCGCCUCCCGCCUGCACCUGCAGCCUCAGUGGCCCCGACAUGAUCCCCUACUUCUCUGCCAACGCGGUCAUCUCGCAAAACGCCAUCAACCAGCUCAUCAGCGAGAGCUUUCUAACUGUCAAAGGUGCUGCCCUUUUUCUACCACGGGGAAAUGGCUCAUCCACUCCAAGAAUCAGCCACAGACGCAACAAGCAUGCAGGUGAUCUCCAACAGCAUCUCCAAGCAAUGUUCAUAUUACUCCGCCCAGAAGACAACAUCAGACUGGCUGUAAGACUAGAAAGUACUUACCAGAAUCGAACACGUUAUAUGGUAGUGGUUUCAACCAAUGGUAGACAAGACACUGAAGAAAGCAUCGUUCUAGGAAUGGAUUUCUCUUCUAAUGACAGCUACUUGGACAGUAAGAGAAGUGCUGCCUACUUGAGAACAGUAGUGCUCAGUAGCACUUGUACCAUGGGCCUAGUCCUGCCUCUCUGGAGUGACACCCUAAUUCAUUUGGAUGGUGAUGGAGGGUUCAGCGUAUCAACAGAUAACAGAAUCCACAUAUUCAAACCUGUAUCUGUGCAGGCAAUGUGGUCUGCACUACAGAGUUUACACAAGGCUUGUGAAGUGGCCAGAAUGCAUAACUACUACCCAGGCAGCCUGUUUCUCACCUGGGUGAGUUACUAUGAGAGCCAUAUCAACUCAGAUCAAUCAUCAGUCAACGAAUGGAAUGCCAUGCAAGAUGUACAGUCCCACCGGCCUGACUCUCCAGCCCUCUUCACUGACAUACCAACUGAACGUGAGCGAACAGAAAGACUAAUUAAAACCAAAUUAAGGGAGAUUAUGAUGCAGAAGGAUUUGGAGAAUAUCACAUCCAAAGAGUAUAAUAUGUCAUCUUUGUUUCAGAUACGAACUGAGUUGGAAAUGCAAAUGGUUUGCAACCUGAGAGAAUUCAAGGAAUUUAUAGAUAAUGAAAUGAUAGUGAUUCUGGGUCAGAUGGACAGUCCUACACAGAUAUUUGAGCACGUGUUCUUGGGCUCUGAAUGGAAUGCCUCUAACUUAGAGGAUUUACAGAACCGAGGGGUGCGGUAUAUUUUGAAUGUCACUCGAGAGAUAGAUAACUUCUUCCCAGGAGUCUUCGAAUAUCAUAACAUUCGAGUAUAUGAUGAAGAGGCAACGGAUCUCCUGGCUUACUGGAAUGACACUUACAAAUUCAUCUCUAAAGCAAAGAAACAUGGAUCUAAAUGCCUUGUGCACUGCAAAAUGGGGGUGAGUCGCUCAGCCUCCACUGUGAUUGCCUAUGCAAUGAAGGAAUAUGGCUGGAAUCUGGACCGAGCCUAUGACUAUGUGAAGGAAAGACGAACAGUGACUAAGCCCAACCCCAGCUUCAUGAGACAACUGGAAGAGUACCAGGGGAUUCUGCUGGCAAGCAAACAGCGGCAUAACAAGCUCUGGAGAUCUCAUUCAGAUAGCGACCUCUCAGACCACCAUGAACCCAUCUGCAAGCCAGGGCUAGAACUCAACAAGAAGGAGAUCACCACCUCAGCAGACCAGAUUGCCGAAGUAAAGACCAUGGAAGGUCACCCAUCCAUACCUCCUGUCUUUGUGGAACAUGUUGUCCCACAAGAUGAAAAUCAGAAAGGCCUGUGUACCAAAGAAAGAGUGAUCUGCUUGGAGUUUACUUCUAGGGAAUUUCAUGCCGGACAGAUUGAAGAUGAAUUAAACCUAAAUGACAUCAAUGGAUGUACAUCAGGGUGUUGUCUCAAUGAAUCAAAAUUCCCCCUUGACAACUGCCAUGCAUCCAAAGCCUUAAUCCAACCUGGACAGGCCCCAGAAAUGCCCAACAAGUUCUCAGACUUAACAGUUGAAGAUUUGGAGACAGAUGCACUGAAAGCAGACAUGAACGUCCACUUACUGCCAAUGGAAGAAUUGACAUCUCGCCUGAAAGACCUCCCCAUGUCCCCUGAUCCUGAGUCACCAAGCCCCCAACCCAGUUGCCAGGCUGAAGUCUCAGAUUUUAGUACAGAUCGCAUUGAUUUUUUUAGUGCUCUGGAGAAGUUUGUAGAGCUUUCUCAAGAAACCCGGUCACGAUCUUUUUCCCACUCAAGGAUGGAGGAACUGGGUGGAGGAAGGAGUGAAAGCUGUCGACUGUCAGUGGUAGAAGUAGCCCCUUCUGAAGUGACAGCUGAGGACCAGAGAAGCAGCUCUUUGAGUAACACUCCCCAUGCAUCCGAAGAAUCGUCAAUAGAUGAGGAACAGUCAAAGGCAAUUUCAGAACUGGUCAGCCCAGACAUUUUCAUGCAAUCUCACUCAGAGAACGCAAUUUCAGUCAAAGAAAUUGUAACUGAGAUUGAAUCUAUCAGUCAAGGAGUUGGACAGAUUCAACUAAAGGGAGACAUUUUAUCCAACCCCUGCCAUACACCAAAGAAGAACUCCAUCCAUGAGAUGCCCCUUGAGAGGGCCCAGGCCCCGGAGAACAAACCUGGAAAUCUGGAGCCGAUUGAGGGUUCCUGCUCAGCCCAGCCUGAACUAGCCAAAGACUCGGGGAAGUGGGACCCAGAAGGCUGCCUAACUGUACCCUCAUCCACCACUGACUUGGAAGAAGAGGAACCAGCUGAGGGGGAACAAGAGCUCGGGGGCCCAGGGAUACACCCAGGUGCCAAGUGGUACCCUGGGUCUGUAAGACGAGCCACCUUGGAAUUUGAGGAACGCUUGCGGCAGGAGCAAGAGCACCACGGUGCUACUCCUGCUUGUACUUCAUUGUCCGCUCGCAAGAAUUCCAAGAAUGAUUCCUCUGUGGCAGACCUGGCACCGAAAGGGAAGAGUGAUGAAGCCACCCUAGGACAUCCGUUUGUCCCCAGGGAACCAGAGAUGAACAAGAGCAAAGGGAAAUCCAGUGGAUGUGAGGCUGGCUCCCUACUGCAUUGUGAGCAAGAUGUCAUUGUUCCAGCACCCAAGCUGCUGGAUUUCUGCCCCUUGCAGGCUCCUCAGGAGUGCUCGGAGUCAGAGACUAGAACCAAACAGCAAGGAGUCCUGAAAGAGCAGAGGACUGUGGUUUCAUGCCAGGAAUCUGAAACACAGGCAGUCCCUUUUCCCAAGAAGAUAGAAAUCAUUGAGUAUACCCACGCGGUCACAUCCCCCAAACACCCUGGGCCAGGGGGUGAAAUAGCCACCAGUGAAAAGAGUGGGGAGCAAGGACUGAGGAAAAUGAAAGUGGAGAAGUCCAUCACUGUGCUCUGUGCACUAGAUGAAAAUCUGAACAGGACGCUGGGCCCCGACCAGGUUUCUCUGUCCCCCAAAGUGCUACCUCUGCCUCCUCCUUUCUCUCCUGAGCACAACAGGCCCACCGACCCGACCUCCACCCUGAGCAGCCCUGAAGGCUGGGGCAACAGCCCGGCAACAGCCUUGGACAUCGCAGCGCCAUUUGUCAGUCACACCACCCACGUACCAUCUGCCAACUUGGAUUAUCUGCAUCCCCAGACCAUGGUUCACCUGGAAGGCUUCACAGAGCAAAGCAGCACCACAGACAGUGAGCCCUGUGCAGAGCCGGGGCGCUGGGAAGAGAGUCAGGAGGGCCCCCUGUCCAGCGGCAAUGAAGUGCCAUAUAAGGGCUCCCAGUUAACUAGUGAAGACCUGAGCUUAAUUAGCAAAUGUAGUGACAACAUUGGGAAGUUACAAGAAAAACUGGACCCAUCACCUGUAGCCUGUAGACUCCCUCAUAGUUCUAGUAGUGACAAUAUAAAGGAUCUCAGCCACAGCCCCCGUGUGGUGAAGGCGCACGCUAAAGAAAUCGAGUCCCAAGCGAUUUGCCAGAUAGGGCUCACCAAACCAUCCCAAAUGAGGCGUUCAGCUUCCCUCGCCAAGUUAGGUUACUUGGACCUGUGUAAAGACUGUUUACUGGAGAGGGAGCCUGUCUCCUCUGAGUCCCCUCAUCUCGAACUUCUUCAGCCCUUCAUCAGAACAGACUCAGGCAUGCAUGCCAUGGAGGCCCAGGAGCCCCCCGGAAACUCAGAUGCCCCCCAGAACCCAGAGCCCACCAAGUAUUUUAUAGAGCAACUUAAAACAACAGAGUGUAUCGCGCAGAGCAAGCCGGUGGAGAGGCCCCUUGUACAGUAUGCCAAAGAGUUUGGUUGCAGUCAGCAGUGUUUGCUCCCCAAGGCAGGACCGGAAUUGACUAGUUCUGAAGGAGGCCUUCCUUUGCUGCAGACCCAGGGGCUGCAGUGGGCAGGCCCAGCUCCAGGGCUGGCUUUGGCUCCCCGGCAGCAGCACCACAGAACUCACCCCCUUAGGAGACUGAAAAAAGCAAGUGAUAAAAAAAGGACAACCAACCCUUUCUAUAAUACCAUGUGAUUCUGAGCCUACACAUGUGACUUUCUAAAAGAAAUGUUUAUAAAAGGGGCAGGUGUAAUAUGUAAGGAACAUGCACUUUAUCGGUUAAUUUUAUAACAUUUUGGUCAUUUUACUGUUCCUGGCACAUGCAGAGUUUGGGGUUUUCUCCCUCUGUGUGUGUGAGAGAUUGAUUUGGACGGCCAGACCAUUUUAUCAUUUUUUAUUUUUAGAAAUUUCAAACCUCAAAAUAUACUCAUUUUCAAAGAACACCUUUAUCAAAGGCAAAUUGCUGUUUUUCAAUCAACUGCCACCUGCUCCUCACUUUGCCCUCUGAGAAAAGGCAUGCAUGCUUGAUUGAGGAUGGAAGCAGAUGGGGAGGGUGGGGGUGAAGCCGGAAAUUGAAAAUGCUGCCCCUGGGCCAGUGUGACGAUGGCUUGUUCUCCAGGCCUGAUGCUUCAGGUGGGCUGAAGGGCAGCGGGCCGGCGGGGACAUCAGCGCGCUCUCAGCCUGGUCCCAGCCCCAGCCCUUUGGAGUUUCUGAAGUGGGCAGGUUCUGCUGUUUUCAAAGGGGGUCUUCCAGAAUCCAUUCUCCUGCUGUUCCAGAGUGGAUCGUUACAGAAAGGCAUCAUAAUGGCUGGCUUUAUAAACCUGUUAGUAAAUCAGUUUUUUUAUUAAAUUAAAAGUCAACCCCAAAUGAAAUCCAAGAGGUCCUCUGUUGAGAAAAGCAUAAGAAGGAGGUGAAAUGGGAAACUGAGACACAAUAGGGACAAGUUUGAAAAAUAGCAAUUGAAAGUCAAUGUGUUCUUGUAAAAUGAAUACAUAUAUAGGGUUUUAACCCUUCCAUUACUUGAAUAAUUCUGUGGGCCUCUGAGUUUAAUGGCCAUAUUUUUUCCAAUUUAUUUUCCUCCCUCAUGCUGUUUCUCUCAAUGCUGCCUGUUUUGUUUUGUUUUAUUUCAUAGAUGACAUUUGAAUUGUUACAUUACUUUUGUAUAACCUCCAUUGAAUGCAACGUUUUCUUUUUGAUAUUAUCACUGUUAACACUUGACAUAAGUUUUUUUCCCCCUUUUCCUGGAAGAUUUGUCAUUUCUUUAGUUUUUACACAGUAUUUAUGUACAUAAUGUCAUAUUCUUACAGUGUUUUGUUAUUGAUGUCAGAGGGUCUUUUUGAUUUAUUUUUUUUAAGGAGUUAUACUGGAAAAAGACAACAGAAAUAAAACUGAUGGGUGUUGUAGGAAUCUGUAGAGUAUAUUGACAGUUGUUUUAUUGUUUAAAUGGAGGCUCCCAAUUGCCAGCUCCUGCCAAAUUAUGCAUUAGUAACUUCCUCCUCAGAGAAACCCCUAAAGGUUCCCUUUAGAUCACAGUUUGACUGACAGCUGCGUCCUCAACUGAAAUCCCAGAAAGUUGUUCGCCUUCACUGACCCACAGCCGGGGAGUGUAUGGGAGUGUUAACGGCUUCCCGCUUCCCCAGGGGGAAGCUCCUCAUGGACUAGGCUGAGAGGCUGCAGGGUGGCCUCCGCCAAGGGCAGGCGCCUUACAGAGUCCGUUUAGGAUGCCGCUGCUUUGCUGCCGCUGUGGAGAUCUUAGGACAGCAGCACCUGCCAUAAACCAGCCUCUUCCAGAAAGCAUAUUGAGACUGGAAUGGAGGACCCUCAUCAAAACUGAAGAGAUUCUGAAUGUUUGGGAUCAUUCCUAGCAUCUCGCCUCUUCCAACUCUUUAUCUAGCAUUAUCCUGGUUCUGUACCUUUAUCCCUACCGUAUCUCCUCUCUCUCAUCUUGGGAAUUACCAAGAGCUCCAAGGACAGCGUGAGGAGGACAGCCUAGGUUCUGAGGUCCCCUCCUGAUAAAGGCCGCAGACAGAUGCUGUUGGAUAGACCUGAAGCUUCUGAGACGUGGCAGCUCACAGAAACCUUCACCUGUUCCUUCUGAGGAUUCAGUUCUGAAGUGAUCUAGGCAUGUUUGGUAAAGAUGUUUUUGUGGGAGUGUUGUUGUUUUUUUAAGAAAGCAUUAUGCAAAAUGGUUCACUUUUAAGGGCAUUUUUAAAUAAAGCCAUUCUUUGGCUUUUUUUUUUUUUACAACUAUUUGUGGAUACUUUGUUUACAUUGUGUGAGUAUUAAAACGUGCAUCAUCUUGAUGGCAGCUCAGUCUCCUCCUCCAGGGACCCACACCUGGCUAUCCUGUGAGCCCUCGCACAGAGCACGGCUGUAAUGGUGUGGGUGAGCGGGGAAAACCUGGAGCUGACUUCCAUCUGUGUCCUGCACUCCCACCCAACACCCUGAACGGAAAUAGUCGUCAUUUCCUAAGUGAUGGUGUGUCUUACAGUGAUGGUUGUACUGGUGAAUGGCUAGUGUCAUUUUUGUUUAAUUUUGUUUUGCUUUUUGAUGGUAGAUGAGAUGAAAUUUUAGCUCUUUCCUCACCAAUCCAACUUAAGAGGCUCUUGGACUUUGUUUUCCCCUUCAACCUAAAAGAACAAGGCAUGUAUAGACAACUGUAUUUGGUGUCUCAACUCAUCCGGUCCCCAUAUUAGGAAAAAGCCUGCUGCCAACGCAGGCAGCUGCACACUCCUAACCCUUCUCCCGGGCUUGGGGUCCCUGGUUGCCAUGGAGAGCUCUCGCAAGGUGCUUCUGUACUCCUCCAGCCUGGAGUGGAGGGUGACUCAGGCUGGCUCCUGCUAUGGAAAGGGAACCAGCCUCAUUUUCUCAGUGCCCCGAGUUCUAGGGCAGGAUUUCUAAACUGGAAUCACCCCCCAUGGGCUUGAACAGGCCCCAAGGGGUAUAUGACUAUCUGUGUCCUCACCACGACACUGGCGGCAGCAUCCUGUAUACACAUGCAGAGCUAAUGCCCAGGGCUUCACUCGAGCUGGUGAUCCAGCCGGUAAACUGGGGAAUGCCCUGAAAUGUUUCCCAGUCAAUAAGGCCACAGGGAGUUGGUUUUUAUGUUUUAUUGGACUUGGUUUGCUUGGUAUAACUUAAGGUGCCUUUCUUUUCUUUCUUUCUUUUUCUUUUUUCUUUCUCUCUACAUUAUUUUGUAGGGCUUGUUAUAAAUGUGGAAAACUAGUCCAAUAGACUUGUUACCUUUGCCCCAGGCCACCCCAAACUUUUAUGCUCACAUUUUAUUAAAUGAAGCAGGUGCUCCCUGGAAUCUCUGGGACCUUUUUGAGGCAUUUGAAGCAGAAUAUAAAGAGUGGUCUCAUCUCCUUCCUUAAUCUUCAUAGUGAUUGGGAUGUUCCACUUGUAUCAUAGAUUUUUUUAUUACUGAUGUGCUCCGCUGUUUUUAAAUGUGAACUUGUGCGCAAAUGUGCAGAUUCAAUGUUCUUGUUACAGACUGAAUAAAUUUUUAUUUUGAAGAUGAAA
Molecule: RNA transcript, 7858 nt
Organism: Myotis lucifugus (little brown bat)
Lineage: Eukaryota; Metazoa; Chordata; Mammalia; Chiroptera; Vespertilionidae
Gene: SSH2
Gene name: slingshot protein phosphatase 2
Exons: 16
Source: RefSeq, a predicted model, not a curated record